RNAcentral lists this ribosomal RNA (253 nucleotides) under uncultured bacterium. RNAcentral's name for it is "partial 16S ribosomal RNA". It matches the Rfam family "Bacterial small subunit ribosomal RNA", at positions 524 to 776 of the family's 1533-position model. The record is from RNAcentral.
UACGUAGGGCGCAAGCGUUAUCCGGAAUUAUUGGGCGUAAAGCGCUCGCAGGUGGUUCAUUGCGUCGUGCGUGAAAGACCCCGGCUCAACUGGGGAGGGUCGUGCGAAACGGGUGAACUAGAGGCCAGUAGGGGGAUGCGGAAUUCCGGGUGUAGUGGUGGAAUGCGUAGAGAUCCGGAGGAACACCAGCGGCGAAGGCGGCAUCCUGGACUGGUCCUGACACUCAGGAGCGAAAGCGUGGGGAGCGAUCCGG